This 1335-nucleotide ribosomal RNA is filed under the name uncultured bacterium. Its description in RNAcentral is "bacterial SSU rRNA". It matches the Rfam family "Bacterial small subunit ribosomal RNA", at positions 62 to 1391 of the family's 1533-position model. The record is from RNAcentral.
UCGAACGGCAGCACGGGAGCUUGCUCCUGGUGGCGAGUGGCGAACGGGUGAGUAAUGCAUCGGAACGUAUCCUGGAGUGGGGGAUAACGUAGCGAAAGUUACGCUAAUACCGCAUAUUCUGUGAGCAGGAAAGCGGGGGACCUUCGGGCCUCGCGCUCUUGGAGCGGCCGAUGUCGGAUUAGCUAGUUGGUGAGGUAAAGGCUCACCAAGGCGACGAUCCGUACAGGUCUGAGAGGAUGAUCUGCCACACUGGAACUGAGACACGGUCCAGACUCCUACGGGAGGCAGCAGUGGGGAAUUUUGGACAAUGGGGGCAACCCUGAUCCAGCCAUGCCGCGUGAGUGAAGAAGGCCUUCGGGUUGUAAAGCUCUUUCGCGAGGGAAGAAAUUGCACCGGAUAAUACCUGGUGUAGAUGACGGUACCUUGAUAAGAAGCACCGGCUAACUACGGUGCCAGCAGCCGCGGUAAUACGUAGGGUGCGAGCGUUACAUCGGAAUUACUGGGCGUAAAGCGUGCGCAGGCGGUUUCGUAAGACAGGCGUGAAAUCCCCGGGCUUAACCUGGGAACUGCGCUUGUGACUGCGAGGCUAGAGUACGGCAGAGGGAGGUAGAAUUCCACGUGUACAGUGAAAUGCGUAAGAUGUGGAGGAAUACCGAUGGCGAAGGCAGCCUCCUGGGCCAGUACUGACGCUCAUGCACGAAAGCGUGGGGAGCAAACAGGAUUAGAUACCCUGGUAGUCCACGCCCUAAACGAUGUCAACUAGUGUUGGUGGGGUUAAACCCAUUAGUACCGCAGCUAACGCGUGAAGUUGACCGCCUGGGGAGUACGGCCGCAAGGUUAAAACUCAAAGGAAUUGACGGGGACCCGCACAAGCGGUGGAUGAUGUGGAUUAAUUCGAUGCAACGCGAAAAACCUUACCUACCCUUGACAUGCCAGGAACUUUCCAGAGAUGGAUUGGUGCCCGAAAGGGAGCCUGGACACAGGUGCUGCAUGGCUGUCGUCAGCUCGUGUCGUGAGAUGUUGGGUUAAGUCCCGCAACGAGCGCAACCCUUGUCAUUAAUUGCCAUCAUUUAGUUGGGCACUUUAAUGAGACUGCCGGUGACAAACCGGAGGAAGGUGGGGAUGACGUCAAGUCCUCAUGGCCCUUAUGGGUAGGGCUUCACACGUCAUACAAUGGUCGGUACAGAGGGUUGCCAAGCCGCGAGGUGGAGCUAAUCUCAGAAAGCCGAUCGUAGUCCGGAUUGCAGUCUGCAACUCGACUGCAUGAAGUCGGAAUCGCUAGUAAUCGCGGAUCAGCAUGUCGCGGUGAAUACGUUCCCGGGUCUUGUACACACC